This 45-nucleotide non-coding RNA is filed under the name Schistosoma mattheei. Lineage: Eukaryota; Metazoa; Platyhelminthes; Trematoda; Strigeidida; Schistosomatidae. The record is from RNAcentral.
AUUCAGCUGACGAAUCCUAAAUGGGGCGAAACGUAUGUCAUAGAU